GCAGGAGCCUUUAGGUGGGCAGCUGGUCAAUCAGGGUGGGUGUCUCAUGGCCACAUGAUCCUUCUGUGUCCCAGGGAGCCGUGGGAGCUGCCCAAAGCCGCUCGGCGCUGGGCUCUGCGCACAGUUAUGCGGCAGCGACGGUUCCUGUCCUGAAGGAGAAAAGUGCUGCAGUAACGGGUGUGGCCACCAGUGCAUCAGAGUGUCUGGAGGGUCUCCCUAACACCCGUCUGCCUGAACCCAGGUGCCAGAGGGGA
Long non-coding RNA from Dermochelys coriacea (leatherback sea turtle), 254 nucleotides. RefSeq lists it as uncharacterized. The transcript has 2 exons. The record is from RefSeq and is a predicted model, not a curated record. NCBI's taxonomy places the organism in Eukaryota, Metazoa, Chordata, Testudines, Dermochelyidae.